CCCUAUCGCAAUCCCAUCCACAACGUCGUCAGGUUCUCUACCUCCAGAGGUGGCAUAGGACUAGCUUCAAGAGGUGCCCAUCGGAUCAUUAUGCACCCAGCACCCUAUCGCAAUCCCAUCCACAACGUCGUCAGGUUCUCUACCUCCAGAGGUGGCAUAGGACUAGCUUCAAGAGGCACGGAAGUGCAGGCCACCACCGGAGGUCACCACGUCGCCCUGAAACCUCCAAGAUGGAGCGCCGCCACCACCUCAAGCUUCGACACCGGGCCCUGCCGCUGGUGCACCACGGGGGCCACGCCCAUCCCGUGCCCCUGCGAUGAACUCCUGCUCUGCGGGUCCCCGCCGCUGCCCCUCACCUUGCUCACUGACAUGGCCGCCGGCUAGAUUCCGGAAGUGUCUCUCGUGGCCAAUGCGUCCUCAAGUGUGCUUGACAACCUUUGAGUUUGUUCUCUUCAUCAUUUUUUUUUUUUUUUUUUUUUUUUUUUUUGCUUUGGGCUCCAAGAUCUGCACAUGUGAGGACUGGCUGAUUGGUGGAACAUUAGCUACUAGACAAAGAAAAACCUUGCGAAACCCAUAUUUUAAGUUUGUCAGGUUUCCGAACUUCCACUGUUCCAUGCUUGCUGAUUCUGAUUCGGUGGAACCUGAAGAUUUGGGACACUAUAUCCAGUAUGUAGUUAGUUUAGUUACUAAAUCGACAAUGUUAGUAAAUCACAUGUAAAAUGCCAAGGGCAUGAGAGAUUCACUCCUUCAGUAAAUGAUAUCUAGGCAGUUCAAUAGUAGAAGUUGUAGCUCGCUGAGUAGAUUACCAUUAUCGUUUUAGGUCCAGCGAGAAUAAAUUGAGAAUCACAACAUUUUCCGAGUAAUUUGUUGGUUAUUGCAAAAUUAAGUUUGAACUUGUCAGCAGCUUCAGUAGCUCCAUUGUUGUUGCUUGGGCAAUACCGCAAUACUCCUGCACACCUGCCCAUAUAUCUUGUAUUUAUAUGAGGAUGAAUUCUUGCAGGCAAGAGAAAGGGCACAAAGGUGAUGACUUAUUUUAGAUCUUUAGGAUGAAAGCUUGGAAAGGGACUUGGCAUGAGUUGAUAUAGCUGGUAUUGUCAUGUAUAGUGGCUUUGGAUUGCAAAUGCUACAUUUGAUCAAGACCGUAGCAGCCCAUAUCUGGCGAAGCUCAUAAUUUUGCAUGACUACGGACUUCAUAUUGUUCAACAGCUAACAUUAACUGCUUUCUGAUGCAGAUCCCUAUGCAUUUUUAUCCAUCAGAUUAGAUAAUACAACAAGAAAAGCUUCCUCAGUGAAGCCAAGCAUGUUCAUCACAACACUAUACAACACAUCUGGAUGGACCUUAUCAUCAAUCACAAUACCAUGAAUGGAAGCUGCAAAGUUGUGGGUGUUUUGUUGGUCAAUUCAAGGGUCUCUUCAAUUACAUUUGUUGUCUAUCUUUAAUCUAAUUGCAGUAACUAGGCCGCCGGGCGUCCUAUUAGCCGGAAAAUCCUCAGGUACUUUUUAACGCAUGCUAUCUGGCCAUCUCUAAAGGGUUUUUUUUCCUGAAGCAAAUGCCCGUUUCCUAAGAAGCUUCUCCUUAUCCAGGGCCUGAAACAGCAUGCCUCGUUUUCAUAUGAAUUCACCGGUGAGCAUAUCAGUUCAAGUUCUGCAAAUAAAUAUACUCAAGAAAACAUAAUUGCACAAUGGUCUGUUUCAGAAGCAAUGAUAUAUCUCCAUAGGUCUGAAUGGGGACAUUCAGCCAUCUUCGAUACCAUAAUAAUCAUUCCUGAUAAUUUUUCAAGUUCAUUGGGUAGUUUGUUUUUCAAAGAAGUUCAUGGGGACAGAUGCUUGUUGGGUAUACCAAGUUAAAGAUUACACAGAGAGCCUCAUGCCCGAGUUUUAGCCACACCAGCACUUGGUAGGAAUGCAUAGAAUCGCAAGUAAGAGGACUAUGGAGGCUGGCAAGGAGCAAGCGGAGCGUAGGUGUUCCUGUAGAUGUUCUUGAGAAACUACAUCGUAAAGUCCCUAAGCUGACUAUCCAUGCUUCUUAACAACUCCGCUAUUUCUGCAAGGAAAGGUACUUUUUAACGCAUGCUAUCUGGACAUCUCUAAAGGGUCUUUUUCCUGAAGCAAAUGCCCGUUUCCUAAGAAGCUUCUCCUUAUCCAAGGCCUGAAACAGCAUGCCUCGUUUUCAUAUGAAUUCACCGGUGAGUAUAUCAGUUCAAGUUCUGCAAAUAAAUAUACUCAAGAAAACAUAAUUGCACAAUGGUCUUUUUCAGAAGCAAUGAUAUAUCUCCAUAGGUCUGAAUGGGGACAUUCAGCCAUCUUCGAUAUCAUAAUAAUCAUUCAUAAUAAUUUUUCAAGUUCAUUGGGUAGUUUGUUUUUCAAAGAAGUUCAACUAUUGGUUAGGUACAAGUCAGAGGUGCUUGGUAAUCAAUUGCUAGAUUGUUUUCUUUGUGAGACACUCAUGGAAAUUUUAGAGGUUGCAGAAUCUUUGUCUGGUAAGCACUAGGCUAUAGUAGUUGUUUCUUUUUUGCACCUACUGAAAUUCUUAUUUUGUUGUCCACCAUGUUUUCUGCUGACAAUUCCGAAAAAUGUUCAAGAUAUCUGUUGUUUUACUUCAUCCAAUUUUCUUAGUCAUGUGUUGAAAUUUCUGAUAAUUAAUUUCAUUUUUUUAUCACACCCACGGGAGACAAACAAGUCCUCAGAGAAAGUAGCAGGGGUACAUGUGAUGAACCGGCACUACGUGGAGAACUUGGAUACGUUGGACCUGGAGACAAAGAGUAUAUGCAUCAUGUCCAAGCCUAUAAUCUGGUCAUUGAUCAGUUGCCACAUACAUAGGUGACUUGAUGUCAAGAUUCCUUGCCAAGGAGCAAACAUUUGUAGGAACACACAUGUGUUGACACACGAGUAGUUGACAUAGUAUAUUUUGAACAAAAAAAAUUAUGUUUGUUAUUUGUUAAGCAACACACAUGUCACUUCAGAUGGAGGAAAGUAUGUUUGUCACACAUGGUAA
Molecule: long non-coding RNA, 2995 nt
Organism: Lolium perenne
Lineage: Eukaryota; Viridiplantae; Streptophyta; Magnoliopsida; Poales; Poaceae
Source: RefSeq, a predicted model, not a curated record